Molecule: non-coding RNA, 145 nt
Organism: Gossypium raimondii (Peruvian cotton)
Lineage: Eukaryota; Viridiplantae; Streptophyta; Magnoliopsida; Malvales; Malvaceae
Source: Rfam
UGUUAAAAAUUUCAUCCAUUUUUACAGUUAAAAAAUAGUGUGACAGACAAAAUAACUAGACAGUGAUACCUAGCAUGCUACAUGUAUCCCAUGCUCAUAUAUAGAUAUCAGUUUUUAACACUAAAAAUGGAUGAAAUUUUUAACA